UCCCAGCCUUUGAUCUUUCUUGUUCUCCAAGCUGAAUUCCAGCCAUUAGAUGAGAUCAAAACUGAUCAAUCUUUGCCGUCCAAGCUUCUAUAUUAUGGGAGGCACUUCACUUUCAAACGUCACGCCUCACUCUUCUUCUUCCUUCUUCAGUUUUGCUGUUUCUUCUCUAAGUUCCAGCAAACCACUUCCUCCUUAAAAGCCAAAGCAAAGCUGCAGAAUCAACUCUCUUCUCUUCUCUUCUCUUUCUUUGGCUUGGUCGUUGGAGUUGCAGAAUUUUUCUUCCUUUUCCUCUUGGCUUUACCUCUCCGUAGAAGGUAGCUAAAAUACUGCUCAGAAAGUACCAGAUGACAUUGUAGACCGGAGUCUUUUCGUUAUGGAUAGCAUAGACCCCACCCCUAAGAGCAAUAGAUCAAGACCGGCCUAACUUUUGUAUUGUGCAUAUUUAUUUUGAAUUUCUGAAAAAAAUAAUGUAAUAACUAAAGAACUACUAAUAUGUAUAUGUUCUUAUAAUGAAAUAUAGCCAUGCGCUAUUCCUGGGAAA
Alnus glutinosa is the source of this 541-nucleotide long non-coding RNA. RefSeq lists it as uncharacterized. NCBI's taxonomy places the organism in Eukaryota, Viridiplantae, Streptophyta, Magnoliopsida, Fagales, Betulaceae. The transcript has 3 exons. The record is from RefSeq and is a predicted model, not a curated record.